Molecule: long non-coding RNA, 2413 nt
Organism: Mastomys coucha (southern multimammate mouse)
Lineage: Eukaryota; Metazoa; Chordata; Mammalia; Rodentia; Muridae
Exons: 4
Source: RefSeq, a predicted model, not a curated record
GAUCAAGGGAUGAGGUAUAGCAGCUACUAGCAGGAAUGGUGACAGGAACAGGAAGUUGAGAGCUCAUAUUCUUAACUGCAAAGAUGAAACAAAAAAAAAAAAGAAAACAAAUUUGUAGCAGAAUUUUCUCCAUCUAAUCAAUUUAAAUAUUAAUACAAAAAGCCUGUGAUUGGACAAGGAAAAGGGAGGCAGAGCUAAGAGUUUCAGCGACUGGGAGAGAAGGAAGGAAGAUGGAGCACGAGGAAGAUGACCCAGAUUCCACGUGGCUUUAAAUAGCCACAGGGCCUCAGACUUGCUGGGUUCAGAAUAUGGUUCCUGGGGUUGUCCUCAGAGCACCAGUGCAAAGCAGAUACCUGGAGUGGAAAUUUCUGGAUGUGUCAUAUGAUGCAGACUCACGUGAUGUCUUGCUGAAACAGACCCAUGAGAGAACACAUGAUGUUUGGAGAGAAUAAAAGUAGGACUCAGCAGACAGUACCAGGUACUUGCUUUGCUAGGUGUGCAAUGCUUUGUUGUUCUUGUUUCUUCACUGAUCUUCACUUUGUUGAGAGAGGCAUGGCAGAGAACUUACCCUGGUAUUACUGCUGCUUCUGCUUGCUCCCGUUGAUUCAUGCUUAUUUGGAGGAAGCCUGGCUGUUUCUGCUGGAUUGUGCCACUGAUGCUGAUGCAGAUUUGGAGACACUUUUUGAACUGGACAGUUGGCAUCCUGACACUGCUGAACUAGACUGCUGGUAUCCUGACAACAGAGAUUGGAACUGCCUUAAAGAACUACUGCUAAAUAAGUCCACAUCUUCUUGUUCUAUUUUCCUAUUUAGGUAUCAUGCUUACCUAAAAUCACAGAAGGUAGAAGGGUAGGCAUAGUGACCUCUGUCCCUUUUAUAUCUUCUCAGAAUGAAAUAAAGAAGUUCUGACCUUUAGUUAAGUCAGGUAGAAUAUAAUAGACAAGGAUAUGAUGCCAAAUUGCAAAGUGAACUGAAGUCUAUACUGUCUUUACUAUACACAAUAGUAAAGUGGGCCCUGAUGGGUUCAGUUGCCAUAUAGAAAAUGGCAACAGAUCAGUUUUGAAGAUCAGUGGAAGUCCCAAAUCUACAACUUGCUAAUUAUGUGACCCUGGAAUUGUCAGAUUUUCUGACUCAGCCUUGAGGUCUUGACAUUUAUGAAACUAACAUUGCAGUGCCUGGCUUAAGGCCUACUGCCGAACUCAAUAGAAUAACAUAUGCAAAUCAGUAAAAAAAAAAAAAAACUAUGCAUGUUCUUGCAAAACAGGCUAUUCUAAAUUUUAGUUAUUUCUAGUUCCAUGGAGAUUUCCUGUAAGUGAGAUCACACAUUCUUAGUUCUUUCUAUCUCCCGGCCUCACACUGUGCCAUUUUCUCAGAAGGCUUGAAUGUGAUUCUUUGUAAUAAAUCACUCAAACAAGUGGAUAAAAAAGUUUCAUGAGAAAGAACCCAGGCUGCUCAGGUCUUGUGGCAGAAUCAGAUGGCGCCUUCUCACAUGGGAAGUUGCCAGCUGGACCCUGGCAGGUGGACCCUACUGCUCCCUCCUGGUUUUCCUCACUGCAGGCUGGCAUUAGGUUCCAUCUAUCUGACUUCCUCUGAAUUACAAAAUGGAUCAUAUUGACCUGCUAAAAGUAAGAAUGGAUUCCAAACCAAUGUCCAUCAUGCGUGACUAGCAUCAUGUAAAGGCACAGCAAGAUUGUUGGCUCCAACCUGCCUUCAGAACUAGGACUAAUCUUGGACUCCCUUUAGGAAAGAUUGUAGGUUUCUGUUCCUGGAACAGUGGGAGGCCAUUCAUGAGAACUCAGAAAUCAACAUCACUUGGUGACUUACUGAAAAUGAAGGCUCUCAGUACCUACCCCAGACCUGCUGAAUCCAUCUUAGAAAGAUGUUCAAGAGAUAAAAGCAUCAAUUAGUGUUAAAGAAUAGGGGACCUAUGGCACACCGACACAUUGCAUUCUUUUACCAGAAUUUUUAUUUCCUUUUCCGGUGAAUCUCCACAAACUCUCUGUAACAAACUAUGUAUAUCCAAGCUCUAUCCACUGGGUCAGUUGAUAGUCCAUAUGUAGGCUUCAGUGAGAAGCACUGAAGCACUGUGAGAGGAGGCCUAAGGUUUCCGACCCCAGCAAAUCAGUGCUGUCUUUAGCUUUAAAGAACCCAACUGCUCAUGUCUGGGUCUUGUAAGCCAUUGAUUGCCCCUGAGAUCCUGCUGGCUUGACCCAACAGCACCAAUCCUUGACCAGAAAUCAAUGGAGCUGGAUUCAAAGUCUGACAAUCAUCAUUUCAUCCUGCUGCCUCUCUGACUUCUGGCAAAAAACUCACCUUCUGGUUCCUCAUAUCUGUAUUUAGACCGUCAACAUCAGCUUAGCUUACCAAAGAAGCUAGAUGUGAUCAGUAAAUAUAUAAAGAUGCUGUAAACUGUG